GACGAACGCUGGCGGCGUGCCUAAUACAUGCAAGUAGAACGCUGAAGGAGGAGCUUGCUUCUCUGGAUGAGUUGCGAACGGGUGAGUAACGCGUAGGUAACCUGCCUGGUAGCGGGGGAUAACUAUUGGAAACGAUAGCUAAUACCGCAUAAUAGCAGUUGUUGCAUGACAACUGUUUGAAAGGUGCAAUUGCACCACUACCAGAUGGACCUGCGUUGUAUUAGCUAGUUGGUGGGGUAACGGCUCACCAAGGCGACGAUACAUAGCCGACCUGAGAGGGUGAUCGGCCACACUGGGACUGAGACACGGCCCAGACUCCUACGGGAGGCAGCAGUAGGGAAUCUUCGGCAAUGGACGGAAGUCUGACCGAGCAACGCCGCGUGAGUGAAGAAGGUUCUCGGAUCGUAAAGCUCUGUUGUAAGAGAAGAACGAGUGUGAGAGUGGAAAGUUCACACUGUGACGGUAUCUUACCAGAAAGGGACGGCUAACUACGUG
Molecule: ribosomal RNA, 495 nt
Filed under: uncultured bacterium
Lineage: Bacteria
Description: partial 16S ribosomal RNA
Rfam family: Bacterial small subunit ribosomal RNA
Source: RNAcentral